RNAcentral lists this ribosomal RNA (504 nucleotides) under uncultured bacterium. Its description in RNAcentral is "bacterial SSU rRNA". It matches the Rfam family "Bacterial small subunit ribosomal RNA", at positions 29 to 527 of the family's 1533-position model. The record is from RNAcentral.
AACUAACGCUGGCGGCGUGCCUAACACAUGCAAGUCGUACGAGAAAGUUGGCUUCGGCCGAUGAGUAAAGUGGCGCACGGGUGAGUAAUGCGUGGAUAAUCUGCCCUUUAGUUGGGAAUAACGUACCGAAAGGUGCGCUAAUACCUGAUAAUACUGCAUAACUACUGUUGUGUAGUCAAAGAAGGCCUCUGUUUACAAGCUUUUGCUGAAGGAUGAGUCCGCGUACCAUUAGCUGGUUGGUGGGGUAAUGGCCUACCAAGGCUACGAUGGUUAGCCGGCCUGAGAGGGUGAUCGGCCACACUGGGACUGAGACACGGCCCAGACUCCUACGGGAGGCAGCAGUGGGGAAUAUUGCACAAUGGGCGAAAGCCUGAUGCAGCGACGCCGCGUGGGGGAUGACGGUCUUCGGAUUGUAAACCCCUUUUCAGUAGGGACGAAGCGCAAGUGACGGUACCUGCAGAAGAAGCACCGGCCAACUACGUGGCCAGCAGCCGCGGUAAAACG